RNAcentral lists this ribosomal RNA (492 nucleotides) under uncultured bacterium. Its description in RNAcentral is "partial 16S ribosomal RNA". It matches the Rfam family "Bacterial small subunit ribosomal RNA", at positions 29 to 507 of the family's 1533-position model. The record is from RNAcentral.
AGUGAACGCUGGCGGUAGGCCUAACACAUGCAAGUCGAACGGCAGCACAGUAAGAGCUUGCUCUUACGGGUGGCGAGUGGCGGACGGGUGAGGAAUACAUCGGAAUCUACUUUUUCGUGGGGGAUAACGUAGGGAAACUUACGCUAAUACCGCAUACGACCUACGGGUGAAAGCAGGGGAUCUUCGGACCUUGCGCGAUUGAAUGAGCCGAUGUCGGAUUAGCUAGUUGGCGGGGUAAAGGCCCACCAAGGCGACGAUCCGUAGCUGGUCUGAGAGGAUGAUCAGCCACACUGGAACUGAGACACGCUCCAGACUCCUACGGGAGGCAGCAGUGGGGAAUAUUUGACAAUGGGCGCAAGCCUGAUCCAGCCAUACCGCGUGGGUGAAGAAGGCCUUCGGGUUGUAAAGCCCUUUUGUUGGGAAAGAAAAGCAGCAGGUUAAUACCCCGCUGUUCUGACGGUACCCAAAGAAUAAGCACCGGCUAACUUCGUG